UAAUACGGAGGGUGCAAGCGUUAUCCGGAUUCAUUGGGUUUAAAGGGUGCGUAGGCGGGGCGAUAAGUCAGUGGUGAAAUCCUGCAGCUUAACUGUAGCAUUGCCAUUGAUACUGUCGUCCUUGAGUACGCUUGACGUGAGCGGAAUGUGCCGUGUAGCGGUGAAAUGCUUAGAUAUGGCACAGAACACCAAUUGCGAAGGCAGCUCACGAAGGCGAAACUGACGCUGAGGCACGAAAGCGUGGGGAUCGAACAGGAUUAGAUACCCUGGUAGUCCACGCCGUAAACGAUGAUCACUCGUGAUUGGCGAUACACGGUCAGUCACCUAGCGAAAGCGUUAAGUGAUCCACCUGGGGAGUACGAUCGCAAGAUUG
Molecule: ribosomal RNA, 373 nt
Filed under: uncultured bacterium
Lineage: Bacteria
Description: bacterial SSU rRNA
Rfam family: Bacterial small subunit ribosomal RNA
Source: RNAcentral